UCCGGUUUGUCACCGGCAGUCUCCUAUGAGUCCCCAACUGAAUGCUGGCAACAUAGGACGGGGGUUGCGCUCGUUGCGGGACUUAACCCAACACCUCACGACACGAGCUGACGACAGCCAUGCACCACCUGCACACAGGCCACAAGGGAAUACCUAUCUCUAGGCACGUCCUGUGCAUGUCAAGCCUUGGUAAGGUUCUUCGCGUCGCGUCGAAUUAAACCACAUGCUCCACCGCUUGUGCGGGCCCCCGUCAAUUCCUUUGAGUUUCAGCCUUGCGGCCGUACUCCCCAGGCGGGGUACUUAUUGCGUUAGCGACGGCACCGAAGGGGUCGCUCCCCCCGGCGCCUAGUACCCAUCGUUUACGGCGUGGACUAC
RNAcentral lists this unclassified non-coding RNA (375 nucleotides) under uncultured bacterium. RNAcentral's name for it is "contains 16S-23S intergenic spacer region". The record is from RNAcentral.